Oreochromis aureus is the source of this 452-nucleotide long non-coding RNA. NCBI's taxonomy places the organism in Eukaryota, Metazoa, Chordata, Actinopteri, Cichliformes, Cichlidae. The record is from Ensembl.
CAAGAACAGAGCGCGCAUCACAGGGCCCCCACUCUGGUGUGAGCGUUCUGUGACCACCCUUGUAUACAAGUGAAAAACACAGCGUCUGUGUGUGUUUCUACCCUUAGACUCUUAGCUGAAGAAGUGUCUUUAGAAUAAAUCUCUUGACAUUUAUUUUGGUCCUUCGAGCCGGAUCAGAAAUAUCAGAACUGUUAUCUGUGACUCUGUUCCAGGAUCUGGCAUACUGUUUCCUGACGCCGUGGAUCCAGCACCGAAGAGGGACAACAACUUCAAAAAGAACGAGACUGGUAUGACUAACCAGUGAUGAAACAACAAAUUUAGUGGUUAAGAGUCAAAUGGCUGCUUUGCCGGUCCUGAAAGCCAAAGCUGACCUGGACUCCUGCUCUCCCUCUACCAUCUCUGACCUUGACCCUGACCAAAUGCUGCAGCAGCUGGACCCAUAACAACAAUCU